GUCUACAACCAUGCUACCCUGAACAAGACCAAUCCCAUCUGAUCUCGGAAGCAGGGUCAGGCCUGUUUAGUACUUGGAUGACAGACCACCUAGGAAGACCAGGUGCUGUAGGCA
Molecule: ribosomal RNA, 114 nt
Filed under: Pteropus alecto (black flying fox)
Lineage: Eukaryota; Metazoa; Chordata; Mammalia; Chiroptera; Pteropodidae
Also listed under: 1 other name
Source: RNAcentral